UACGUAGGCGGAAAAUUAAGUCAGUAGUGAAAUCCUGCAGCUUAACUGUAGAACUGUUAUUGAUACUGAUUUUCUUGAAUACAGUAGAGGUAGGCGGAAUAUGUAAUGUAGCGGUGAAAUGCUUAGAUAUUACAUAGAACACCGAUUGCGAAGGCAGCUUACUAUACUGUGAUUGACGCUGAGGCACGAAAGCGUGGGGAGCGAACAGGAUUAGAUACCCUGGUAGUCC
RNAcentral lists this ribosomal RNA (229 nucleotides) under uncultured bacterium. Its description in RNAcentral is "partial 16S ribosomal RNA". It matches the Rfam family "Bacterial small subunit ribosomal RNA", at positions 568 to 796 of the family's 1533-position model. The record is from RNAcentral.